UGACCUGAACCAAAAUGAAGAGUGGGGACACUCAACCAGCUGAACUACCCUGGCACCCCUGUAGCUUGUGGCUUGUAAGACAGCUUUUCCGAGAACUGAUGACUCUUAAACAGGUACUUGCAAAGGUUCUGCACUUCAGUCUCUCCUCAAGCUCAUCAUUUAUCUUCUGAUUAGAAAGUUGCUGCUUCUUUUAACCAUAGCUGGUGUUGUGGAUGAUAAACCCUAAAAGGAAAACAGUGGACUUUGAAGGGAACUUGUCUUCCCUGCAGAGCUUUUCUGAGAGUAAACAGGAAAGUUGGAACACUGAUUGGAUAUUUGUUUCUAAACAUACUGGAUGUUAUAUAAAUUUUCCAAGACUCUGAAGCCAACCGUGGUUUCUUGCUGACCUACUACUACUAUGAAUUUGAGAGACUUGAGCUUUUCUAAUUUGGUGCUGCUACAAUCAAGUGUCAUCAGAAACUCGCCAGUGUUCUUCUGGAUCUACAAAGAGAGAGACGAGUAGAGAUAGAAAUGGAGGUGGAGAUGAGAUGGACAAGGACAUAGAGAGAGAAAAAAAGGAACUAGGUUUUAAACAUAUGCUUACUAACUCCCUGGAAUCAUGCUUCAAUCCCUUCUGUGACUGUGGGGUAAAAACAAUGUCACGGAGAGGCAGACAAGCUAGUAGAGGUGUUCAAGGCAGAAUCUGGGGCUAGACUGCUGUAUCAGACGCCCAGCUCUGCCCCUUCCUGGCUGUGCGGUCUUGGGAACAUCGCUUGAAAGUCAUCAUCUGGAACAAAGACACCAACUAUUGUUCCCCCACAGCAUGGCUGAGAAAUGACCAACAUAUAUAAAAC
Molecule: long non-coding RNA, 833 nt
Filed under: Suricata suricatta (meerkat)
Lineage: Eukaryota; Metazoa; Chordata; Mammalia; Carnivora; Herpestidae
Description: lncRNA (ENSSSUG00005015151.1)
Source: RNAcentral